AUUGAACGCUGGCGGCAGGCCUACACAUGCAAGUCGAGCGGUAGAGAGAAGCUUGCUUCUCUUGAGAGCGGCGGACGGGUGAGUAAUGCCUAGGAAUCUGCCUGGUAGUGGGGGAUAACGUUCGGAAACGGACGCUAAUACCGCAUACGUCCUACGGGAGAAAGCAGGGGACCUUCGGGCCUUGCGCUAUCAGAUGAGCCUAGGUCGGAUUAGCUAGUUGGUGGGGUAAUGGCUCACCAAGGCGACGAUCCGUAACUGGUCUGAGAGGAUGAUCAGUCACACUGGAACUGAGACACGGUCCAGACUCCUACGGGAGGCAGCAGUGGGGAAUAUUGGACAAUGGGCGAAAGCCUGAUCCAGCCAUGCCGCGUGUGUGAAGAAGGUCUUCGGAUUGUAAAGCACUUUAAGUUUGGAGGAAGGGCAGUAAAUUAAUACUUUGCUGUUUUGACGUUACCGACAGAAUAAGCACCGGCUAACUCUGUGCCAGCCGCCGCCGUAA
RNAcentral lists this ribosomal RNA (499 nucleotides) under uncultured bacterium. Its description in RNAcentral is "partial 16S ribosomal RNA". It matches the Rfam family "Bacterial small subunit ribosomal RNA", at positions 30 to 523 of the family's 1533-position model. The record is from RNAcentral.